This 498-nucleotide ribosomal RNA is filed under the name uncultured Sphingobacteriales bacterium. RNAcentral describes it as "bacterial SSU rRNA". It matches the Rfam family "Bacterial small subunit ribosomal RNA", at positions 903 to 1382 of the family's 1533-position model. Lineage: Bacteria; Pseudomonadati; Bacteroidota; Sphingobacteriia; Sphingobacteriales. The record is from RNAcentral.
CGCCCGCUACAGAAACUACAAAGGAAUUAGACGGGGCCCGGCACAAGCGGAGGAGCAUGUGGUUUAAUUCGAUGAUACGCGAGGAACCUUACCUGGGCUCGAACGUAAGAUGACUGUAGGUGAAAGCUUACAUCUCUUCGGAGCAUUUUACGAGGUGCUGCAUGGUUGUCGUCAGCUCGUGCCGUGAGGUGUCGGGUUAAGUCCCAUAACGAGCGCAACCCCUACCUUUAGUUGCCAUCAGGUUAAGCUGGGGACUCUAAAGGAACUGCCUACGCAAGUAGUGAGGAAGCGGGGAUGACGUCAAAUCAGCACGGCCCUUACGUCCAGGGCUACACACGUGCUACAAUGGCCGAUACAGAGGGCAGCUACCUGGUGACAGGAUGCAAAUCUCCAAAGUCGGUCUCAGUUCGGAUCGGAGUCUGCAACCCGACUCCGUGAAGUUGGAUUCGCUAGUAAUCGCGCAUCAGCCAUGGCGCGGUGAAUACGUUCCCGGGCCUU